This 557-nucleotide ribosomal RNA is filed under the name Pelagococcus sp. RCC5672. Its description in RNAcentral is "SSU rRNA". It matches the Rfam family "Eukaryotic small subunit ribosomal RNA", at positions 631 to 1188 of the family's 1831-position model. The record is from RNAcentral. Lineage: Eukaryota; Pelagophyceae; Pelagomonadales; Pelagomonadaceae.
UAGUUGGAUUCCUGGCCUGGGGUAGCCGGUCCGCCUUGCAAAAGGUGCGCACUGUGCGGCCUCGGCCAUCCUUGAGAAGAGCUGUUCUGGCAUUCAGUUGUCGGGGCGGGGAUUCUCGACGUUUACUGUGAAAAAAUCAGAGUGUUCAAAGCAGGCUUACGCCUUGAAUACAUUAGCAUGGAAUAAUGAGAUAGGACCUUGGCGGUCUAUUUUGUUGGUUUGCACGCCGAGGUAAUGAUUAAAAGGGACGGUUGGGGUUCUUCGUAUUCAAUUGUCAGAGGUGAAAUUCUUGGAUUUAUGGAAGACGAACUGCUGCGAAAGCGUCGAACAAGGACGUUCUCAUUAAUCAAGAACGAAAGUUAGGGGAUCGAAGAUGAUUAGAUACCAUCGUAGUCUUAACCAUAAACUAUGCCGAUUCAGGAUUGGCGGUCGUUUGUUCUCGACUCCGUCAGCACUGUAUGAGAAAUCAAAAUCUUUGGGUUCCGGGGGGAGUAUGGUCGCGAGGCUGAAACUUAAAGAAAUUGACGGAAGGGCACCACCAGGAGUGGAGCCUGCGG